RNAcentral lists this ribosomal RNA (679 nucleotides) under Puccinia lagenophorae. RNAcentral's name for it is "eukaryotic LSU rRNA". The stretch from base 267 to 420 matches the Rfam family "5.8S ribosomal RNA". Lineage: Eukaryota; Fungi; Basidiomycota; Pucciniomycetes; Pucciniales; Pucciniaceae. The record is from RNAcentral.
UGGAAGUAAAAGUCGUAACAAGGUUUCUGUAGGUGAACCUGCAGAAGGAUCAUUAUUUAUAAAAAAUGGAGUGCACUUUAUUGUGGCUCUGAACCUUUCACAUAAUCUUACCCCAAGACUUGUUUGUGUGGCAUCUUUUAGGUGACAUUGCACUCAGGUAUACGUAGCAGUUAUGCUACAUUCUCCCCCCCCCACCCUUUUUUUUUUAACAAUUUUUUUAACACAAGUUUGAGCUAAGAAUGUAAACAUUUAUUAAUUAUAUAAAUAACUUUUAACAAUGGAUCUCUAGGCUCUCAUAUCGAUGAAGAACACAGUGAAAUGUGAUAAGUAAUGUGAAUUGCAGAAUUCAGUGAAUCAUUGAAUCUUUGAACGCACCUUGCACCUUUUGGUAUUCCAAAAGGUACACCUGUUUGAGUGUCAUGAAAAUCUCUCAUCAAAAUAAUUUUUGGUGGAUGUUGAGUGCUGCUGCUAUCUAGCUCACUUUAAAUAUAUAAGUCUUUUUAUUCUUCUGUUUGUUGGAUUGACUUGGUGUAAUAUUUUUAUCAUCAAGGAAAGUAGCAAUACUUGCCAACGUUUUUGGAAAAAGGACUCCUAAAUUGAUUUUAAAUCAUUUUUAUUUUUAAGACCUCAAAUCAGGUGGGACUACCUGCUGAACUUAAGCAUAUCAAUAAGCGGAGGA